Molecule: unclassified non-coding RNA, 103 nt
Organism: Otolemur garnettii (small-eared galago)
Lineage: Eukaryota; Metazoa; Chordata; Mammalia; Primates; Galagidae
Rfam family: Y RNA
About the family: Y RNAs are components of the Ro ribonucleoprotein particle (Ro RNP), in association with Ro60 and La proteins. The Y RNAs and Ro60 and La proteins are well conserved, but the function of the Ro RNP is not known.
Source: Ensembl
GGGUGGUCCAAAUGCAGUGGUAUUUACAACUAAUUAAUCACAACCAGUUACAGAGUCCUUUGUUUUUUUCUUCACUUGCACUGCUUCAUAUGACUAGCCUAAA